RNAcentral lists this ribosomal RNA (497 nucleotides) under uncultured bacterium. RNAcentral describes it as "partial 16S ribosomal RNA". It matches the Rfam family "Bacterial small subunit ribosomal RNA", at positions 28 to 507 of the family's 1533-position model. The record is from RNAcentral.
GAUGAACGCUGGCGGCGUGCCUAAUACAUGCAAGUCGAGCGAACAGACGAGGAGCUUGCUCCUCUGACGUUAGCGGCGGACGGGUGAGUAACACGUGGAUAACCUACCUAUAAGACUGGGAUAACUUCGGGAAACCGGAGCUAAUACCGGAUAAUAUAUUGAACCGCAUGGUUCAAUAGUGAAAGACGGUUUUGCUGUCACUUAUAGAUGGAUCCGCGCCGCAUUAGCUAGUUGGUAAGGUAACGGCUUACCAAGGCGACGAUGCGUAGCCGACCUGAGAGGGUGAUCGGCCACACUGGAACUGAGACACGGUCCAGACUCCUACGGGAGGCAGCAGUAGGGAAUCUUCCGCAAAGGGCGAAAGCCUGACGGAGCAACGCCGCGUGAGUGAUGAAGGUCUUCGGAUCGUAAAACUCUGUUAUUAGGGAAGAACAAAUGCGUAAGUAACUAUGCACGUCUUGACGGUACCUAAUCAGAAAGCCACGGCUAACUACGUG